RNAcentral lists this ribosomal RNA (218 nucleotides) under uncultured bacterium. Its description in RNAcentral is "partial 16S ribosomal RNA". It matches the Rfam family "Bacterial small subunit ribosomal RNA", at positions 1282 to 1500 of the family's 1533-position model. The record is from RNAcentral.
GUAGUCUCAGUUCGGAUUGAAGGCUGAAAUUCGCCUUCAUGAAGCCGGAAUUGCUAGUAAUGGCAGGUCAGCAUACUGCCGUGAAUACGUUCCCGGGCCUUGUACACACCGCCCGUCACACCAUGAGAGUUGGGAAUACCCGAAGCCUGUGAGCUAACUAUACGAGGCAGCAGUCGAAGGUAGAAUCAAUGAUUGGGGUGAAGUCGUAACAAGGUAGC